This 460-nucleotide ribosomal RNA is filed under the name uncultured bacterium. RNAcentral describes it as "partial 16S ribosomal RNA". It matches the Rfam family "Bacterial small subunit ribosomal RNA", at positions 338 to 795 of the family's 1533-position model. The record is from RNAcentral.
CCUACGGGUGGCAGCAGUGAGGAAUAUUGGUCAAUGGGAGGAAGCCUGAACCAGCCAAGUCGCGUGAGGGAUUAAGGUCCUGCGGGUCGUAAACCUCUUUUGCCGGGGAGCAGAAGUCCGGACGUGUCCGGGCCGGGAGAGUACCCGGAGAAAAAGAAUCGGCGAACUCCGUCCCAGCAGCCGCGGUAAUACGGAGGAUGGGAGCGUUAUCCGGAUUUAUUGGGUUAAAGGGGUGCGUAGGCGGGCUGUUAAGCCGGCGGUAAAAGGUCGGGGCUCACCCCCGGCCUGCCGUUGAAACUGGGUGUCUUGAGUGGGCGAGAGGUAUGCGGAAUGCGUGGUGUAGCGGUGAAAUGCAUAGAUAUCACGCAGAACCCCGAUUGCGAAGGCAGCAUACCGGCGCCCUACUGACGCUGAGGCACGAAAGUGUGGGUAUCGAACAGGAUUAGAUACCCCUGUAGUC